Onychomys torridus (southern grasshopper mouse) is the source of this 190-nucleotide small nuclear RNA. RefSeq annotates it as U2 spliceosomal RNA. The transcript has a single exon. Lineage: Eukaryota; Metazoa; Chordata; Mammalia; Rodentia; Cricetidae. The record is from RefSeq and is a predicted model, not a curated record.
AUUACAUCUCAGUCUUUUGGCUAAGAUCAAAUUAGUAUCUGUUCUUAUCAGCUUAAUAUCUGAUAUGUCCUCUAUCCAAGGGCAACAUAUUAAAUGGAUUUUUUGGAAUAGGAGUUGGACUAGAAGCUUGCUCCAUCCACUCUCCGCUUCAACCUGGUAUUGCAGUAUCUCCACAAACGGUGAAAUCCCA